GCCAAGCCCCAGGUCAGACGGGGGCACCCGUUGAGUUUAAGCAUA
Molecule: ribosomal RNA, 45 nt
Filed under: Rafflesia speciosa
Lineage: Eukaryota; Viridiplantae; Streptophyta; Magnoliopsida; Malpighiales; Rafflesiaceae
Also listed under: 1 other name
Description: partial 26S ribosomal RNA
Source: RNAcentral